This 367-nucleotide unclassified non-coding RNA is filed under the name uncultured fungus. Its description in RNAcentral is "sequence contains ITS1". The stretch from base 1 to 105 matches the Rfam family "5.8S ribosomal RNA", at positions 50 to 154 of the family's 154-position model. Lineage: Eukaryota; Fungi. The record is from RNAcentral.
CAACUGCGAUAACUAGUGUGAACUGCAGAUAUUUUGAACACUAAGAUUUCGAAUGCACAUUGCGCCUUGGGAAUUUUAUCCCUUGGCACAUCUGGUUCAGGGUCGUUUUUUUCUAAAGCGAAUGCUUUCAAAGUGAAACCGCGAACAGUUGUACGAUCACUAUGCGAAAUCCAGCCACCGCAUCUAUCUGGCUCGCAUUGUGUUCGUGCAUAUUGGAGAAGUCGUCCCUUCCUGCCCAUUGACUUCGAUGGCAGGCCCGUGGCGUGGCAUUGUAGCUUAUAAGCCGCACACGGUGCCUUGCUUUGAGUCUAUUGGGCGCAAUCGCUAUUUCGACCUGAACUCAGGUGUGAGUACCUGCUGAACUUAA